AGUGAACGCUGGCGGUAGGCCUAACACAUGCAAGUCGAACGGCAGCACAGGAGAGCUUGCUCUCUGGGUGGCGAGUGGCGGACGGGUGAGGAAUACAUCGGAAUCUACUCUGUCGUGGGGGAUAACGUAGGGAAACUUACGCUAAUACCGCAUACGACCUACGGGUGAAAGCAGGGGAUCUUCGGACCUUGCGCGAUUGAAUGAGCCGAUGUCGGAUUAGCUAGUUGGCGGGGUAAAGGCCACCAAGGCGACGAUCCGUAGCUGGCCUGAGAGGAUGAUCAGCCACACUGAAACUGCGACACGGUCCAGACUCCUACGGGAGGCAGCAGUGGGGAAUAUUGGACAAUGGGCGCAGGCCUGAUCCAGCCAUACCGGGUGGGUGAAGAAGGCCUUCGGGUUGUAAAGCCCUUUUGUUGGGAAAGAAAUCCAGCUGGCUAAUACCCGGUUGGGAUGACGGUACCCAAAGAAUAAGCACCGGCUAACUUCGUGCCAGCCGCCGCCGUAA
Molecule: ribosomal RNA, 505 nt
Filed under: uncultured bacterium
Lineage: Bacteria
Description: partial 16S ribosomal RNA
Rfam family: Bacterial small subunit ribosomal RNA
Source: RNAcentral